CAGCAGCCGCGGUAAUACAGAGGGUGCAAACGUUGUUCGGAAUUACUGGGCGUAAAGCGAGUGUAGGCGGUCUGCUAAGUCGGGUGUGAAAGCCCCGGGCUCAACCCGGGAAGUGCACUCGAAACUGGCAGGCUAGAGUACUGGAGAGGUUGGUGGAAUUCUCGGUGUAGAGGUGAAAUUCGUAGAUAUCGAGAGGAACACCGGUGGCGAAGGCGGCCAACUGGACAGAUACUGACGCUGAGACUCGAAAGCGUGGGGAGCAAACAGGAUUAGAUACCCUGGUAGUCCACGCCGUAAACAAUGGGUGCUAGGUGUCGCGGGCUUUGACUCCUGCGGUGCCGUAGCUAACGCAUUAAGCACCCCGCCUGGGAAGUACGGCCGCAAGGCUAAAACUCAAAGGAAUUGACGG
This 409-nucleotide ribosomal RNA is filed under the name uncultured bacterium. RNAcentral describes it as "bacterial SSU rRNA". It matches the Rfam family "Bacterial small subunit ribosomal RNA", at positions 509 to 916 of the family's 1533-position model. The record is from RNAcentral.